GGAAUAUUGGUCAAUGGAGGCAACUCUGAACCAGCCAUGCCGCGUGCAGGAUGACGGUCCUAUGGAUUGUAAACUGCUUUUGUACAGGAAGAAACCGCUCUACGUGUAGAGCCUUGACGGUACUGUAAGAAUAAGGAUCGGCUAACUCCGUGCCAGCAGCCGCGGUAAUACGGAGGAUCCAAGCGUUAUCCGGAAUCAUUGGGUUUAAAGGGUCCGUAGGCGGCUUAGCAAGUCAGUGGUGAAAUCUCCCCGCUCAACGGGGAAACGGCCAUUGAUACUACUAGGCUUGAAUUAUUAGGAAGUAACUAGAAUAUGUAGUGUAGCGGUGAAAUGCUUAGAUAUUACAUGGAAUACCAAUUGCGAAGGCAGGUUACUACUAAUUGAUUGACGCUGAUGGACGAAAGCGUGGGGAGCGAACAGGAUUAGAUACCCUGG
Molecule: ribosomal RNA, 435 nt
Filed under: uncultured Flavobacterium sp.
Lineage: Bacteria; Pseudomonadati; Bacteroidota; Flavobacteriia; Flavobacteriales; Flavobacteriaceae
Description: bacterial SSU rRNA
Rfam family: Bacterial small subunit ribosomal RNA
Source: RNAcentral